RNAcentral lists this unclassified non-coding RNA (292 nucleotides) under uncultured Verrucomicrobiales bacterium. RNAcentral's name for it is "contains 16S-23S intergenic spacer region". Lineage: Bacteria; Pseudomonadati; Verrucomicrobiota; Verrucomicrobiia; Verrucomicrobiales. The record is from RNAcentral.
GGACUACUGGGGUUUCUAAUCCCUUUCGCUCCCCUAGCCUUCGAGCCUCAGCGUCAGCAAAUGUCCAGUAGCUCGCUUUCGCCACGAGUGUUCCUAUCGAUAUCUACGCAUUUCACUGCUACACCGAUAAUUCCAGCUACCCCUCCAUUGCUCAAGCACGGCAGUAUCGGAUGCAGUUCCGGGGUUGAGCCCCGGGAUUUCACAUCUGACUUACCGCGCCGCCUACGCUCCCUUUACGCCCAGUGAUUCCGAACAACGCUUGGGACCUUCGUAUUACCGCGGCGGCUGGCAC